CUCUGUUGAUCCGUACAACCCAGCAAGCUAAUCAGAAGACAAACUGGUAUCUAAUGAAAUUUAAAUAUUUUUAUACAUUUAUAUGUCAAGAUUUCCUUCCAUUUUUUACCAAUAAUCAUAGUGCUAUUUUAUCAAUAAGCAUAGUACUAAGUAUAUAUUGCUCUGACUUGCACAAAUCUUUAGUGACCAUGCACGUUGUUAAUUUACCUACUUCAUAUUGCCAAAUGAUCUUCCUGGUUUUGUAAAAGUCCAUUCAUCCAUUCAACAAAGAUAUAACUAAAUAGUACAAUGACCAAGAAAGAAAGAAUGAAGAAGAUAAAUGUUAUAAAGAGAAAUAAAGUAGGCAAAGGAGACAGAGAGAACAUGGUGGGUCUGAGUUUUGUCUUUACUAAGAGAAUGGCAUUUGAGCAAAGAGUAGAGAGCAUUAAGGAGCCAGCCCUGGGGCUUCAUGGGGAAGAGCAUCUCAGAAAGCACAAAGGCCAUAAGAGGCAGUAAGCUGCCCUGUUGGAGCCAGAUGGUCAAUGUGACUUCAACUGGACUGACCAGGGGUUAGAGUCUCUGAUUCUCAUUAGAGGAAUAGAGAAUGGGGAUAGGGUGAUUGUAUAGAGUAUGUGAGGUCAUCGUGAUAAAUGUUUAAGCCAAGAUGCAUCACAAACACCAUAACUGGUAUGUUAAGAAGAAACUAUAGGAAGCCAAGGGUGGAAGUCAGGGUGCCAGUGAGGAGGCUGCUGCAAUAACCCAAUCAAGAAAUAGUGAGUGCCACCACCAGGCUGGAGAGAAGAAUCCAGAUUCCACGUGCAUUUUUCAGAGGGUAACAAUAGGAUUUGCUGACAGUUUAUUUCAGGAUAAGAGAGAGAGAGAGCAAGGCAAUGAUGAUGAUGUCAGGGCUUUUGGGCCUAAGCAACCAAAAGGAAAGAGUUGCCAUUAAGGUGGGUGGGAAUGUGAAGAGCAAGACUGGGGAGAAGAAUGGAGUUCCAUUGGGGGAUGAGUCAUCUACCAUGAGAAAUGCACAAGCUGAGGUACAAGUCCGUGCUGCAGGCAAUAGGUCCAGCCUGGAGAUACGCAUUUGGGCCUUGUCUGGGUGUGGAUGUAUGUGACAAUGAGAUUAAAUAAGAUCACCAAGGGUGGGGGUGGUGUAAGAGGCUAGGGAAGAGAAAAAUCCCAGGUCCUGAGCCUUGGGUACUCCAACAGGGAGGAGAUAUGGGUUGAAAAGGGACCAACAAAGGAUGGAAGAAGCAGAAGUGGCCCCUGAUGCAGAAGAGCCCCAGAGUGUGCUGUUCUAGAAGUCAAAUGGAGAAAGAAGAAAGCAGCAGGGACCAACUCCACCAACUGCUAUAGAUAGGUCACAAAAGAUGAGCAGUGGAAAUUGACCAUUGGCUUUAGUAGCACAAAAUCUAUUAAUGAACUCGAUGAGAACAGUUUGGGCAGAAAGGAGGCAGGCAGAAUUAUGACUGUCAUGACCUUAUGAGAGAAUGAAAGAAGAUAAAUUGUAGAUAUCAAUACAUACAGCUUUUUCUACAUGUUUUUCUUUAAAGAGGACCAGAUACAUGGAGUGACAGCAAGAGGUAGAAAGAAGAGGAAGAAGUCAGAGGAGAUAUUUUUUAAGAAUGGAUAAAUCGCUGUUAUGCUGCUGUUCUAUAUGCUGAUGAGAAUGAUCUGGGGGAAAGUGAUGGCAGGAAAGAGGGAAGACUUGCUGGAGCAGCGUCUGGAGGCACUAUAAGGAAUAGGGUCUACUGCUUGAGCAGAGGGGUUGACCUGCUACGGGAGAAGGGUUUGUCACAGAAGGGAAGGCAGAAUAGACAGGUGCAGGUGAAGGCAGAUGAGAGGUCUGGUGGUGCAUGCAUGGUGGUGAAUGCAUGGGUGGAAAUUCCCUUUGAUGAUUUGUCUUCUCAGUGAAGAGAAAGCAAAUUGAUCAGCUGAUUCUGAGAAUGGAAAAGACUCUAGAUUAUUAAGGAGAAUGGAGAAGCUAUUUUAUAGCAAACUAAAAAUUGAAGACUAAAUCAUAGGGAGUACAGAAAUGUGGACAGGCACCCUAAAGGAUCCAUCUAAGGCAGAAAAUGGGGGUGAACACCAGAAGGUUUACUCUGCCCUGGCAUUUAUGUUGAGCGUCUUUCAUGCCCUCACUAUCAUCCUGAAAGACAGAUACUAUCCCCAAAUAAUACCAAGAUGAAAUAAUAUCCUAGAUGAGAAAAAAAAGAAAAAACAAGACUAAAAGAUUCUCUUGGCCAACCUCAAGAAUUCAAGUUCAAAAGUGACUUGAAAAUGCUUUCUCCUACACAACCAAUAAGACAAAAAAAAUGCAGUUACCACCUCUGCCCUUUUGGAAAUUACUAAAGGAAUAUGAAACUUAUAUAUCAUAGGGUCAGAAUAAAUACCAUAAGCAAUGUACAGAAAAGCCAUAGUGGUAAUAGAAGAAGAAAAGUUACUAAUAGAGAGUUGUAGAAAAAGGGAAGAGGAGAGCAGGAUACUUCAUACCAGAGAGAUCUCCAAAUCCAAACCAUGAGAGACCAGAGUAAACCCAUUGAAUAAACAUUUGUUGAAUGAAUGAAUGAGAAUGAUAUGAUUACUUCCAUUUCUCCCUCAUUGGGUUAUUCACAUUUAUCAACAUAAAUACAAUUAUUAUCUGUUCCAGAUCCUGUUUUCUGAAGAAGCAUGUCUUAUGGAAUGAUGUCUUCUAAUAGGCGUUAAAGGUUAUAAUUGAAUGAAAACAUUAACGCUCUCAUUAUUUGAACAUCAAGUUGCACCGCUGCCACCUAAACACGAACGACCUAUUUCCAUGUGGUUUAUGACUUGGAAUCCCAUGGAACAUUCAUUGGAAAGACAUCACCUUAAGAUCAGCAAGUCUCUUUGUGUGGUCUCAACGUCAGUCAAGUGAUUUCAUAAGCUAAUAACUUCCUGUAUGUACUUAUUCCCAAGCAAAUCAAAGAAAAUUUGCUUGAUAUUAAAGACAGGAACUGAGGUUCACUGCCAUGAGCAGUGCAAGGCUUUGCCAAAGACUCCCUGUGAUCUGCCUAAAGCCAGGCUGUGGCAAUGAAAAAGGACAUGGCUUUAGAAGUGUCACCUUCUUACCAAAGCACUGAAAAGAGCUGUCCUCGCCUCUAGACCGAUCCUCUUUUGUAGCCAGCGUACUUACUGUUGCCAUAUGCUUUGGGUUUAAUGUGGCUUUAAUUAUUUAAGCCACAUACAGAGUACGCUCUGUGAUUAUGAUGGGCCUGCCUUUGGGGAAAGACUGGCUUUAUUUUAAUAGUAGCUUCCUUCUCUGAUGUGGUUAAAUAUUUCACUUUUAGCCCCAUUUGUUUUAAGUUUCUCUGACAAACUGUAUAUCCUUUGCCUUUUCCAUAAUCACUGAUUUCAAUUUGCACAAGUUUUUUUUUUUUUUAUUAUAGGAGUCAAGUUUUAAUUCUAAUGAUUUGGUAUAUAUUUCAAGCUUUGGAUAUUUUCUGAACAUUUUUAAUAUGUACAUUAGUCAUUCAAAUAAACUGUAUUUG
This 3488-nucleotide long non-coding RNA is filed under the name Marmota monax (woodchuck). Lineage: Eukaryota; Metazoa; Chordata; Mammalia; Rodentia; Sciuridae. The record is from RNAcentral.